Molecule: ribosomal RNA, 515 nt
Filed under: uncultured bacterium
Lineage: Bacteria
Description: bacterial SSU rRNA
Rfam family: Bacterial small subunit ribosomal RNA
Source: RNAcentral
GAUGAACGCUAGCGGGAGGCUUAACACAUGCAAGUCGAGGGGCAGCAUAGGGUAGCAAUACUCUGAUGGCGACCGGCAAACGGGUGAGUAACGCGUAUGCAACCUACCCUGUACAGGGGGAUAACCCGGAGAAAUUCGGACUAAUAUCCCGUAAUAAUAUCCGGAGGCAUCUUUGGAUAUUUAAAGUUCCGACGGUACGGGAUGGGCAUGCGUAACAUUAGCUGGUUGGUAAGGUAACGGCUUACCAAGGCUAUGAUGUUUAGGGGUCCUGAGAGGGUGGUCCCCCACACUGGUACUGAGACACGGACCAGACUCCUACGGGAGGCAGCAGUGAGGAAUAUUGGUCAAUGGGCGCAAGCCUGAACCAGCCAUCCCGCGUGCAGGAAGACGGCCCUAUGGGUUGUAAACUGCUUUUCCAGGGAGAGAAACUUACGCACGUGUUGCGUGACUGACGGUACCCUGGGAAUAAGCAUCGGCUAACUCCGUGCCAGCAGCCGCGGUAAACUCGGUCUCUA